CCACAAGCGAGUUGGGGCAUUCAGACUGGGGCAUCGGUUAAAAGCUGUACAAGGUCACGGGUAGCAUGGAUUCAUCCAGUGGGUCAGUCAAUAGAGGUCAUUCAAUGUGACUUCUCAUGUAGCUUGCUGGAGGACACACACUGUCUUCUCUCUGAGAUCUUCAGUUAAAUCCUCAUUGUUCAACAUUAGCUCUCUGAGUGGAUUCUUUGGGAGCAACCUGAGGAGGGGCUGAACUUUACAUCUGGGUCCCUUUAGUGGAUAGCAGAGAUAAUCUCCUGGACUUGGGAGCCAGGGAAAAGCAGCCCUACAAACUGAAGCUAGACAACUUUAUAUAAACUUUGGGAGAAAUCAUCACAGCAACUUACAUGUAAACAACCUCCGUGCUUGUUGACGGAUGGACUACUCAGAAAGUCCACUGUGUUGACCUAAUGGAAGAAACUGAGGCAAAAUUAAUAUAAGUAGAGAGUUUAUUUGGGUCAAGUUUGAAGACUGCAGCCUGGAAGACAUAAAUUCAAGUUGCCCUGAAUAUAUCCUCCAAUUAGCAGCAGUUACAAGCUGUAGAGGAAGCAUGGCAGCAGGUUGCCUCAGCUUCUGGUGAAGUUCAGGAAGCUUCCAAUCAUGGCAGAGGCAAAGUGGGAGCAGACGCAUCACAUGGUGAGAGCAGGAACAAGAGAGAGAAGGGGGGGGCCCAGAUUCUUUUACACAACCAGAUCUCGUGUGAACUGAGUGAAAACUCGCCCAUCACCAAGGGGAUGGUGCUAAGCCAUUCAUGAGGAUCCACCUCAACGGUCCAGUCACCUCCCUCCAGGCCCCACCUCCAACAAUGAGGAUCACAUUUCAAUGUGAGGGGACAGAGAUCCAAAUCAUAGUAAGUACUCUGGACCUUCACCUUUGUUUUUCUUCUGUUUCCAUAGAAAGGCAUCUUAUUAAAGAUCUGUUUGCCUGCACUAUAUAUAGAGGCCUAGCUUUGAGAGCCCCUCUGCAGCGCCAUCUCCUGAAAUGAGACAUGACUGUUUAAUUGAACUGACCUAUUUCUAGAAACAGGAGACUGGUUUAAUGGGAUCCUUUGCCACUUGGCUAUUAACUCAAUUUUUCUCUGCACAGCCACUAACUCAGCUUUUAAAGUAUGAAACUUCUAGGGAAGUUUCAGAAAGGUAAUGUUGGGGUUCAGAAAAUGAUACCUUGAAGUCUGGACAUGCUGAAAGGCCUUAGAAGUGGCCUCAGAGUCAAUGUCCCUCUAACCUUGUCUGUCUCCCACCCCCAACCCCAACCAAAUGAAGAAAUACAAUUGUCUUCCUCCCUUCCCUGAAAUCUCAUUAUCUAUCUCAGAAAAGAAGACUGAAGAAUGCAACCACACUUGGAUGGACUUUUUCAGAAGAUAAUGCCUGCCACUGGAGGCUCAUUCAAAUUUCAAAGAGAAUCUAUAGUUAAUUUCUGUUCAUUCAUAUUUCCUAAUAAUCAUUUGCAGCUCCUCAAAAGAAUUGUCUGAAUUCUUCAUCUCCUUCCUCCCCUAUGAAAAAGAGUAUAUAAGCUUCUGAACCCCAUUGGGUUAUUCUGUACCCCAUUG
Molecule: long non-coding RNA, 1567 nt
Filed under: Homo sapiens (human)
Lineage: Eukaryota; Metazoa; Chordata; Mammalia; Primates; Hominidae
Description: HSALNT0096725
Source: RNAcentral